Molecule: ribosomal RNA, 429 nt
Filed under: Actinomycetes bacterium
Lineage: Bacteria; Bacillati; Actinomycetota; Actinomycetes
Description: Actinobacteria bacterium partial 16S ribosomal RNA
Rfam family: Bacterial small subunit ribosomal RNA
Source: RNAcentral
UAGGGAAUCUUCCGCAAUGGGCGAAAGCCUGACGGAGCAACGCCGCGUGAGUGAUGAAGGUCUUCGGAUCGUAAAACUCUGUUAUUAGGGAAGAACAAAUGUGUAAGUAACUAUGCACGUCUUGACGGUACCUAAUCAGAAAGCCACGGCUAACUACGUGCCAGCAGCCGCGGUAAUACGUAGGUGGCAAGCGUUAUCCGGAAUUAUUGGGCGUAAAGCGCGCGUAGGCGGUUUUUUAAGUCUGAUGUGAAAGCCCACGGCUCAACCGUGGAGGGUCAUUGGAAACUGGAAAACUUGAGUGCAGAAGAGGAAGGGGGAAUUCCAUGUGUAGCGGUGAAAUGCGCAGAGAUAUGGAGGAACACCAGGGGCGAAGGCGACUUUCUGGUCUGUAACUGACGCUGAUGUGCGAAAGCGUGGGGAUCAAACAGG